CUAAACAACGAAACACUAUGAACGCGCAAGCAUCGAUGAAAUUAGGAGUGUCUUUUUCCAAUUGAACAUUCAGACACUUUUCUUUAAUCAAUAAGGUCCUAGACUUCAUAAAUACACCUUGUCCCUCCUUUUCAUGGCCUAAAGAGCGUAAAUAACGAACUAUUUCUUUCCCGUGGGAAAGACUGAUUCCUUUAAAUCCAAGUUGAUGAAGUAAAAUUUCCGUCACCUUUCGCUUUCUAUUGUGAAGUUUAUCUGCAAAAAAUUCGGCAAACAACUCGUUUAGAUUACCACGCUCUAGCUUAUUUUGUAUCAAAGCCAAAUUUCUAAUAGCAUCCGUAAACUCUUGUAAGCUAAUUUGUAUGUCGAGAUGAUCAAAUUGCAUAGAUAUUUCCUUUACCAUGUUUCUCUGUUUGGCAUAAGCCUGAAGGAUGUCCUGAGUAUCCAGAUUUUUACAAAGGACUUGAAAGGAUGUAUACGAACACAUAUCGGCUUGUUCCGAUUUAGUAUGAUAUUCUAGUUCACGACUAAAUUCGAGAUCUUCAUCAUGCUUUCUAGACCAAUUUUCUAGUU
Schizosaccharomyces pombe (fission yeast) is the source of this 570-nucleotide non-coding RNA. Lineage: Eukaryota; Fungi; Ascomycota; Schizosaccharomycetes; Schizosaccharomycetales; Schizosaccharomycetaceae. The record is from the annotation of a GenBank genome assembly.